This 1552-nucleotide ribosomal RNA is filed under the name Lacticaseibacillus rhamnosus. RNAcentral's name for it is "bacterial SSU rRNA". It matches the Rfam family "Bacterial small subunit ribosomal RNA". Lineage: Bacteria; Bacillati; Bacillota; Bacilli; Lactobacillales; Lactobacillaceae. The record is from RNAcentral.
GAUUCCUGGCUCAGGAUGAACGCUGGCGGCGUGCCUAAUACAUGCAAGUCGAACGAGUUCUGAUUAUUGAAAGGUGCUUGCAUCUUGAUUUAAUUUUGAACGAGUGGCGGACGGGUGAGUAACACGUGGGUAACCUGCCCUUAAGUGGGGGAUAACAUUUGGAAACAGAUGCUAAUACCGCAUAAAUCCAAGAACCGCAUGGUUCUUGGCUGAAAGAUGGCGUAAGCUAUCGCUUUUGGAUGGACCCGCGGCGUAUUAGCUAGUUGGUGAGGUAACGGCUCACCAAGGCAAUGAUACGUAGCCGAAGCAUGAGGUUGAUCGGCCACAUUGGGACUGAGACACGGCCCAAACUCCUACGGGAGGCAGCAGUAGGGAAUCUUCCACAAUGGACGCAAGUCUGAUGGAGCAACGCCGCGUGAGUGAAGAAGGCUUUCGGGUCGUAAAACUCUGUUGUUGGAGAAGAAUGGUCGGCAGAGUAACUGUUGUCGGCGUGACGGUAUCCAACCAGAAAGCCACGGCUAACUACGUGCCAGCAGCCGCGGUAAUACGUAGGUGGCAAGCGUUAUCCGGAUUUAUUGGGCGUAAAGCGAGCGCAGGCGGUUUUUUAAGUCUGAUGUGAAAGCCCUCGGCUUAACCGAGGAAGUGCAUCGGAAACUGGGAAACUUGAGUGCAGAAGAGGACAGUGGAACUCCAUGUGUAGCGGUGAAAUGCGUAGAUAUAUGGAAGAACACCAGUGGCGAAGGCGGCUGUCUGGUCUGUAACUGACGCUGAGGCUCGAAAGCAUGGGUAGCGAACAGGAUUAGAUACCCUGGUAGUCCAUGCCGUAAACGAUGAAUGCUAGGUGUUGGAGGGUUUCCGCCCUUCAGUGCCGCAGCUAACGCAUUAAGCAUUCCGCCUGGGGAGUACGACCGCAAGGUUGAAACUCAAAGGAAUUGACGGGGGCCCGCACAAGCGGUGGAGCAUGUGGUUUAAUUCGAAGCAACGCGAAGAACCUUACCAGGUCUUGACAUCUUUUGGAUCACCUGAGAGAUCAGGUUUCCCCUUCGGGGGCAAAAUGACAGGUGGUGCAUGGUUGUUCGUCAGCUCGUGUCGUGAGAUGUUGGGUUAAGUCCCGCAACGAGCGCAACCCUUAUGACUAGUUUGCCAGCAUUUAGUUGGGCACUCUAGUAAGACUGCCGGUGACAAACCGGAGGAAGGUGGGGAUGACGUCAAAUCAUCAUGCCCCUUAUGACCUGGGCUACACACGUGCUACAAUGGAUGGUACAACGAGUUGCGAGACCGCGAGGUCAAGCUAAUCUCUUAAAGCCAUUCUCAGUUCGGACUGUAGGCUGCAACUCGCCUACACGAAGUCGGAAUCGCUAGUAAUCGCGGAUCAGCACGCCGCGGUGAAUACGUUCCCGGGCCUUGUACACACCGCCCGUCACACCAUGAGAGUUUGUAACACCCGAAGCCGGUGGCGUAACCCUUUUAGGGAGCGAGCCGUCUAAGGUGGGACAAAUGAUUAGGGUGAAGUCGUAACAAGGUAGCCGUAGGAGAACCUGCGGCUGGAUCA